UAUUGGACAAUGGGCGCAAGCCUGAUCCAGCAAUACCGCGUGUGUGAAGAAGGCCUUAGGGUUGUAAAGCACUUUCAAUUGGGAGGAAAACCUGCCGGUCAAUACCCGGUAGCUUGACAUUACCUUUAGAAGAAGCACCGGCUAACUCCGUGCCAGCAGCCGCGGUAAUACGGAGGGUGCGAGCGUUAAUCGGAAUUACUGGGCGUAAAGCGUACGCAGGCGGUUUGUUAAGCGAGAUGUGAAAGCCCCGGGCUCAACCUGGGAACUGCAUUUCGAACUGGCAAACUAGAGUGUGAUAGAGGGUGGUAGAAUUUCAGGUGUAGCGGUGAAAUGCGCAGAGAUCUGAAGGAAUACCGAUGGCGAAGGCAGCCACCUGGGUCAACACUGACGCUCAUUACGAAG
RNAcentral lists this ribosomal RNA (402 nucleotides) under uncultured bacterium. RNAcentral's name for it is "bacterial SSU rRNA". It matches the Rfam family "Bacterial small subunit ribosomal RNA", at positions 362 to 758 of the family's 1533-position model. The record is from RNAcentral.